This is a non-coding RNA of Nylanderia fulva, 1017 nucleotides long. Lineage: Eukaryota; Metazoa; Arthropoda; Insecta; Hymenoptera; Formicidae. The record is from RefSeq and is a predicted model, not a curated record.
AAAAAGAGGACGUAAUUUCUGUCGCAGCGAAUCUAAUAAUUCAUCGUUCCCGCGCGUCCGCGAUACGGGCCUGACAGCUGUCAGCGCGAAUAAUCGGAGCACUGCGCGCUCAGCGAGGGGGUGAGGAGACGGUGGGAGGCGCACUCGCGCUUCGCGCGCACAGCGGGUGGGCGCGCAGUAGCGAGAGGUGCGCGGAUCGAGCAAGACGUGUCCGCGCGUCCGUCCAGGCGCGGCGAUAUGUGCGGGCGUGUAUGCGAGACGAGAUCAUGUGAAUAAGAUCCGCGGCCCGGCGGCACGCACCUUCGACGACGUCACAACAUACGCGGUGUCGUGGUAUCGCGCGCGACGUACAAUUUUUCGAGGAGGAACUCCGUCGCGGAACUCAGCUGCACCUUCUGCACGCGCGAGUCGGCCCGUUCGUGCUGCGCCGUCGUUAUUAACGUGUACAUAUAUAUAUUUCUCGCGUACGUACACGGAACGGACACACGUGUGCGCGAGAAGACGGACGUUUCUCAAGUAUUAUGCGCGAAUGGGCGUAUUAUUCUGGAUCGAGGGUACCGAAUCGCUCGUCGAUACGAUAAUAGUGCGCGCGAGAGACGGACGUCCAGCGGGAACGGCGAUAACGGUGACAAGUGCGCCGCGAAAGGGACAGGGACGGAGAUAGAGCGAGCGAGGGACAGUGUGUAUGUGUGUGUGGGAGUGCGAGAGAGAGAAAUUGAGGUAGAAGAGGACGCAGUGAGGGAAUGGAGAACGCCAUGCAGCCGCCACCCCCUCCACCAGCCUUCGACAUGCCACAGAGCAGCAACACCGAGCAGACGGUCACCCACGAGUUGACAUUCGAGAAUAUUGACGGACCAGAUCAUCCAUCGAACUAGAGGGCAUAUCUAUCUAAUGAUCUAUUUUUUGUGACUCACCAGUCAUGACAUACACAUAGUACACAUCGUACACAUUUUCGAAGAUUUGUACCGAGUCACAAAAGAGACUUUCCUAGCUGUCUAAGGCAAAGCUCAGCAAUUA